AGUCUUCUUAAACUUUGACUGUGGAUGAAAGAAGAAGAGCUGAAGUUCAAGUCAGGAGAACGCAACUCUCGGGGUUGAAACAGGAAGUGAGAUCCAACGGUGACGUUGUCUACCUCAAAUAAAUGCGCCAAACGAACAAGUGAAGGGAAGAAGAGCUGGAGGAGGAGGAGAAGGUGGAGCCUGCUGAUGCUGCAAUUAAGAACCUCAUUGUCUGCCGGACCAGCGAAGAAGAUUGCAUAUUUCAGUCCGUCGCUAGCGGUGUACAGUGAGGGCUAGACACACCUACACACACAAACUGACAAAUCAUUGCAAAAGCUUCCGGAAUCAUCACCAACCUCCACCAGACAAAAAAAAAAAAAAAAAAAAAAUGCAGUUCUGCUCCUACAACCCCCCUCGUAAAGGCUAAUGGCUAGUAAAGAAAAUGCACACGUCUGUUACUGAAUUCCAGCUAUUACCCACUUCCACAUACUUUGUAACUUGAGUUGAAUUCUUGCCCAGUGAAUAAAAAUUGCAGGUUACAGUGUCA
Molecule: long non-coding RNA, 526 nt
Organism: Hippocampus zosterae (dwarf seahorse)
Lineage: Eukaryota; Metazoa; Chordata; Actinopteri; Syngnathiformes; Syngnathidae
Exons: 2
Source: RefSeq, a predicted model, not a curated record